AAGCUCGUAGUUGAAUUUCGGGGUUCUACCGACGGUCGGGCUACCAAGUCUGUACUGGUGUGUAGAAUUUCUACCUUCUGGGGAACCAUCAUGUUAUUAAUUUAGCGUGGUGGGAAACCAGGACCUUUACCUUGAAAAAAUUAGAGUGUUCAAAGCAGGCUUAUGUCUGAAUACAUUAGCAUGGAAUAAUAGAAUAGGACGGUGGUCCUGUUUUGUUGGUUUCUGAAUCACCGUAAUGAUUAAUAGGGAUAGUUGGG
This 257-nucleotide ribosomal RNA is filed under the name uncultured Glomeromycotina. RNAcentral describes it as "partial 18S ribosomal RNA". It matches the Rfam family "Eukaryotic small subunit ribosomal RNA", at positions 624 to 886 of the family's 1831-position model. Lineage: Eukaryota; Fungi; Glomeromycota. The record is from RNAcentral.